This 253-nucleotide ribosomal RNA is filed under the name uncultured bacterium. RNAcentral's name for it is "partial 16S ribosomal RNA". It matches the Rfam family "Bacterial small subunit ribosomal RNA", at positions 524 to 776 of the family's 1533-position model. The record is from RNAcentral.
UACAGAGGGGGCAAGCGUUGUUCGGAAUUACUGGGCGUAAAGGGCGCGUAGGCGGCCCGCUAAGUCGAACGUGAAAUCCCCGAGCUCAACUCGGGAACUGCGUCCGAUACUGGCGGGCUUGAAUCCGGGAGAGGGAUGCGGAAUUCCAGGUGUAGCGGUGAAAUGCGUAGAUAUCUGGAGGAACACCGGUGGCGAAGGCGGCAUCCUGGACCGGUAUUGACACUGAGGCGCGAAAGCCAGGGGAGCAAACAGG